Molecule: unclassified non-coding RNA, 363 nt
Filed under: Hevea brasiliensis (rubber tree)
Lineage: Eukaryota; Viridiplantae; Streptophyta; Magnoliopsida; Malpighiales; Euphorbiaceae
Source: RNAcentral
CGUUAUUUUCUGCUCUACUUUUCAAUCAGACAAGACGAACCAGAAAAAUCAUGGCUUCUCAGCUCCUUAGACGCGCUUUAGGAAGCCGCUCCUCCCAGAUCCUUUCCUCCACUACCACCGCCGCUGCCGGACCUAAUUACUCCUUGCUAGCGUCGGCCGCCAGGGCUUUCUCCUCCUCUACAACUCCGAUAACAGCCACUCUCUUUCCUGGCGACGGUAUCGGCCCCGAGAUCGCUGAGUCUGUCAAACAGGUAUUUAAGGCAGCUGAGGUGCCAAUUGAGUGGGAAGAACACUAUGUUGGGACUGAAAUAGAUCCUAGAACCCAGAGUUUCUUAACAUGGGAAAGUUUGGAGUCAGUUAGAC